CUGCUUUCAAAUAGUCCGUGAUUUUAGUAUACUGGAAAAGCCGGUUCACCGGCUAUGGCGAUAAACGCCAUGCGGAAUAGACGUUACGGACCCGGGGGCAGUGCCCGGCGCCUCCACCAUAUUCCCGCCGCAGGGCGGAUUCUAUGGGGGCGAAACAGGAUUGACGUGCGUGGUAAAGGUAUGGUUUUUGCUCGGCGGGGCGCCACCGUUAUCGGUCCAAAACCUAGAAAUGCCAACGAUAAUGAGGCAUUUGCCGUAGCCGCUUAAUUGCGUAUGCGACGGGGCACGAGGGGCGCCUGGCAACAGAAGCCCCUCACU
This 318-nucleotide transfer-messenger RNA is filed under the name Rhodospirillales bacterium RIFCSPLOWO2_02_FULL_58_16. It matches the Rfam family "Alphaproteobacteria transfer-messenger RNA". From Rfam's summary of the family: Bacterial tmRNA, also known as 10Sa RNA or SsrA, is named for its dual tRNA and mRNA-like properties. The record is from RNAcentral. RNAcentral also lists the same sequence under 1 other name. Lineage: Bacteria; Pseudomonadati; Pseudomonadota; Alphaproteobacteria; Rhodospirillales.